AGCUUUGCUCAGUGGCAGUGUUGUAGCCAAUGAGGUUUAUCUGAGGCGCAAUUAUUGCUAAUUGGAAAAAAAAAAAAAGGCGCCAGGGGAAGGGCCCACCAGGUGGCGGUAAUUUGCGAGGCGUGGCACAUAAG
Molecule: small nuclear RNA, 134 nt
Organism: Cervus elaphus (red deer)
Lineage: Eukaryota; Metazoa; Chordata; Mammalia; Artiodactyla; Cervidae
Product: U4 spliceosomal RNA
Exons: 1
Source: RefSeq, a predicted model, not a curated record